GUUCAGUGUGUAAAUUGUAAAACUAGAAAACAGUUCUCCGUUUCGGUUAUUUUCGAAAUUUUCCUUUUCUUUUUUUAAAAUUAUAUCAAAAUUUUGUAAUUUUUUAAUAGGUUUGAACUGUUUCACAAAUUUACAAAAAUUGUUUUUGAAAUUAAAAAUGCUACCCCUUCACUCAUUAUGGAAUCGCUCAGCUUUACGUAAUUUGGCAAAGUUGCCCAUUCUGCCUGCUCUACGCAUGAAGUCAAAGAAGAGUGGAAAGUGCGAUGGAGCUAAGAUUAAAAAACCGAAACCUUCUCCCUGCGGUGAUCCGGAAAAUAUGCUAAGGAAAAAACCGAAGGUAAACGAAAAAAAGCAGCCCAAGGAGCCAUCCAUAUGGCUAAAUCCAUUUUGUGACGAGGACGAGUCACACUGUCCAUUCAAUCCACGAUUCGAUGAUAUAUACUACGUUGAGUCUGAUAAGGCGAAUCGCAAGUAUUGGCAAACCUGGGUCGCAUGCCCGCCCGUUGCGAUAAAGCCGAAGAAGAUAUGCUGCUUCAAAGACGUCAAGGCGGCUCCGCUGCGUCGUCGCACCACCCCCAAACCGAAGACCGCAUGCCCACAGCCCGCCACCUGCGAUAAAUUCCCCCUGGACUGCCCACGCUUCAAGCGUCGCUGCCACAGAUCCGGCCGCAUUCCGCCAGAUUGCGUGAAAGUCAGGCGUCCUCUCAACUGCAGCAAGCCAUUGACGCCAUAUCCGGCUUUCUCCGAGUGCACGCGGAUCAAGCCUGGUGCACUGCCGCUGAGCGAGUGCAUUUGUUGGCAGAAGCCGAUGCUCUGCGAGGCAUGGGCUGAGUGGAGACGUCGCAGCUUGAGGAAGACGGCCAGAUAGAGGGCGAGCUCCCAUACUGCUGCAAGCCUGGUUUUUCGACUGCAGUCCUUGUAAGUCUUGUGGCAAUCGGCACCGGCGCGACCCGCAUCUCUGGCAUUAAUAUACUUUUCAGCAACAUUAUCUGCCGUGGGUCUGCAAAGAUAGAUGAUAUGGGGUAUCGGAACGAAUCUAAAACUUUCAGUCACUCACAUAAGUAUUGCGUUGGCGAUCUCACUGAAUAUGUUGCUAUUCUCAAAGGGCAAUUGAGAGAUCUCGCAGAUGCUGCGCAGCAAGCAAUUGGCGCCACGCUCACUGCCAUCCAGCCUGAAAUUGAAAUUCAGCCAUGAUUAUGAGGCAUUGAAGAACUCAGCUCGGUAACACUUACGCUGCCAUGCCGGUCUCAAUGACAUCGUAGACCCAGCUGCGCGUAUCAUCCCGAUGCAGAGUGGCCUGCAUGUUCUUGCGCAGUUGACGGGCUGUGGAGACAAAGGUUGUGGUGUUCCAAAAGCUCCACCAAAAGAUGGGUACUGUGGUGGGAAUGUACUGGCUUUGCAAGUUGUAAAAGAACCAGAACGACUGCUCCUUUUCCACCUGCUUCACAGGAUGCGCAAUACUGACAACGAACUGUAAACAUCGAUCAAUUAACAUUCAAUAUUUAAAUGGCAACACGCUUGGCUCGACUUAGUUUUGCGCUCGGACUUAUUUGACUCAGAUUUGCGGACCCAGACGUGAGAUCAGAGCCAAAGCCUGGCUCGAAGCUACUCGUAUGCGCAGCUGCGAGUCCACCAAUAGCCAGCAGCAGCAGCACGCUGAGAAUUCUCUGCUCUUGGCUUAGACUCAUCUUGUUGUCAUUUGGCCGUUUGGCUUACUAAUGCGUUCGGUAUACCAAGCGAAGCAAUUGUGCAGACGAGACCAGAAGACACGCAACAUUUAUUUAUUUAAAAAAUUUACAGCUGAGCUGAGAAAUUAAGAAAAGACAUGAAGCUUUGUUUAAUACCCUGAGCCCAUUAGGGAAUGCCAGUUUCGAGUACCACGAUUUUAUUAAGCCCUCUGGCAUAUGGUAUAUGGUAUUCUUGAUUAGGAUUAACUACAGAGAAUAUAUACAUACUAUAUACUAUA
Drosophila mojavensis is the source of this 1966-nucleotide RNA transcript. RefSeq lists it as uncharacterized. Lineage: Eukaryota; Metazoa; Arthropoda; Insecta; Diptera; Drosophilidae. The record is from RefSeq and is a predicted model, not a curated record. The transcript has 3 exons.